Molecule: non-coding RNA, 94 nt
Organism: Armillaria fumosa
Lineage: Eukaryota; Fungi; Basidiomycota; Agaricomycetes; Agaricales; Physalacriaceae
Source: the annotation of a GenBank genome assembly
UCUCUGGUAGUAUAUCGGUUAGUACACGCGCCUGUCAUAAUUUCGAUACUGGUUUGCUCCGCGCGAAAGCUGGGUUCGACUCCCAGCCAGAGAG